GACGAACGCUGGCGGCGUGCCUAAUACAUGCAAGUUGAGCGCUGAAGGUUGGUACUUGUACCGACUGGAUGAGCAGCGCACGGGUGAGUAACGCGUGGGGAAUCUGCCUUUGAGCGGGGGACAACAUUUGGAAACGAAUGCUAAUACCGCAUAAAAACUUUAAACACAAGCUUUAAGUUUGAAAGAUGCAAUUGCAUCACUCAAAGAUGAUCCCGCGUUGUAUUAGCUAGUUGGUGAGGUAAAGGCUCACCAAGGCGAUGAUACAUAGCCGACCUGAGAGGGUGAUCGGCCAAAUUGGGACUGAGACACGGCCCAAACUCCUACGGGAGGCAGCAGUAGGGAAUCUUCGGCAAUGGACGAAAGUCUGACCGAGCAACGCCGCGUGAGUGAAGAAGGUUUUCGGAUCGUAAAACUCUGUUGGUAGAGAAGAACGUUGGUGAGAGUGGAAAGCUCAUCAAGUGACGGUAACUACCCAGAAAGGGACGGCUAACUACGUG
Molecule: ribosomal RNA, 497 nt
Filed under: uncultured bacterium
Lineage: Bacteria
Description: partial 16S ribosomal RNA
Rfam family: Bacterial small subunit ribosomal RNA
Source: RNAcentral